CUUUCGAUGUCGACGGGAGGAAACUGUCACGCAGGCCACCAACCGGCGGUGGAGGGCGCGGUGCCGAGUCCUGCCACUGCAGGGUCGCCCCGCUGGCUCAAGCUCUAGAAGCGUAGACCUCCCCAGCCGCAAAAAGCAACUCACGCGGCGAAACCGCGGACUCUUUUGACCCUUCCGAGCUACCAUUUACUUUCCAUAGAGGGGCGGGACUUCCUGUUUCGCUUUUAUCUUGUCUCGCUCUUCCGCCCAGUCUCGAGUGCAGUGGUGAGAACACGGCUUACUGCAGCCUCAAAAUCCUGGACCCAAAAGAUCCUCCCACCUCAGCCUGCCUCCCAGGUAGCUGGGACUACAGGCGCACAACACCAUCGCUUCUUGGAUUAAAAGAAAAGGAUGAAACGGGCCCCAGAAAGAGGCGGUGACGUCCCAGAACCCAUGGCAGGGGAGUUGGGAAAAUAAAUAUUUGUAUUGUUUUA
RNAcentral lists this long non-coding RNA (473 nucleotides) under Homo sapiens (human). RNAcentral describes it as "HSALNT0299108". The record is from RNAcentral. Lineage: Eukaryota; Metazoa; Chordata; Mammalia; Primates; Hominidae.